GACGAACGCUGGCGGCGCGCCUAACACAUGCAAGUCGAACGAGCGAGAGAGAGCUUGCUUUCUCGAGCGAGUGGCGAACGGGUGAGUAACGCGUGAGGAACCUGCCUCAAAGAGGGGGACAACAGUUGGAAACGACUGCUAAUACCGCAUAAGCCCACGGGUCGGCAUCGACCAGAGGGAAAAGGAGCAAUCCGCUUUGAGAUGGCCUCGCGUCCGAUUAGCUAGUUGGUGAGGUAAUGGCCCACCAAGGCGACGAUCGGUAGCCGGACUGAGAGGUUGAACGGCCACAUUGGGACUGAGACACGGCCCAGACUCCUACGGGAGGCAGCAGUGGGGAAUAUUGCACAAUGGGGGAAACCCUGAUGCAGCGACGCCGCGUGGAGGAAGAAGGUCUUCGGAUUGUAAACUCCUGUUGUUGGGGAAGAUAAUGACGGUACCCAACAAGGAAGUGACGGCUAACUACGU
RNAcentral lists this ribosomal RNA (465 nucleotides) under uncultured bacterium. Its description in RNAcentral is "partial 16S ribosomal RNA". It matches the Rfam family "Bacterial small subunit ribosomal RNA", at positions 28 to 506 of the family's 1533-position model. The record is from RNAcentral.